RNAcentral lists this ribosomal RNA (515 nucleotides) under uncultured bacterium. Its description in RNAcentral is "partial 16S ribosomal RNA". It matches the Rfam family "Bacterial small subunit ribosomal RNA", at positions 28 to 523 of the family's 1533-position model. The record is from RNAcentral.
GAUGAACGCUGGCGGCGUGCCUAAUACAUGCAAGUCGAGCGAAUGGAUUAAGAGCUUGCUCUUAUGAAGUUAGCGGCGGACGGGUGAGUAACACGUGGGUAACCUGCCCAUAAGACUGGGAUAACUCCGGGAAACCGGGGCUAAUACCGGAUAACAUUUUGAACCGCAUGGUUCGAAAUUGAAAGGCGGCUUCGGCUGUCCCUUCUGGAUGGACCCGCGUCGCAUUAGCUAGUUGGCGAGGUAACGGCUCACCAAGGCAACGAUGCGUAGCCGACCUGAGAGGGUGAUCGGCCACACUGGGACUGAGACACGGCCCAGACUCCUACGGGAGGCAGCAGUAGGGAAUCUUCCGCAAUGGACGAAAGUCUGACGGAGCAACGCCGCGUGAGUGAUGAAGGCUUUCGGGUCGUAAAACUCUGUUGUUAGGGAAGAACAAGUGCUAGUUGAAUAAGCUGGCACCUUGACGGUACCUAACCAGAAAGCCACGGCUAACUACGUGCCAGCCGCCGCAGUAA